Molecule: ribosomal RNA, 489 nt
Filed under: uncultured bacterium
Lineage: Bacteria
Description: bacterial SSU rRNA
Rfam family: Bacterial small subunit ribosomal RNA
Source: RNAcentral
UAGUCCACGCCGUAAACGAUGAUCACUCGUUGCUAGCGAUACACUGUUAGUGACCAAGCGAAAGUGUUAAGUGAUCCACCUGGGAAGUACGUUCGCAAGAAUGAAACUCAAAGGAAUUGACGGGGGCCCGCACAAGCGGUGGAGCAUGUGGUUUAAUUCGAUGAUACGCGAGGAACCUUACCAGGGCUUAAAUGCAGAAUGACAGAUUGGGAAACCAGUCCUUCUUCGGACAUUUUGCAAGGUGCUGCAUGGUUGUCGUCAGCUCGUGCCGUGAGGUGUCAGGUUAAGUCCUAUAACGAGCGCAACCCCUAUCCAUUACGUUGCCAGCGGGUAAUGCCGGGAACUCUAAUGAGACUGCCCAGCGCAAGCUGCGAGGAAGGUGGGGGAUGACGUCAAAUCAUCACGGGCCCUUACGUCCUGGGGCUACACACGUGCUACAAUGGUUGGGACAAUGGGGGCAGGCCACUACGCGAGUAGGGAGCUAAUCCU